Leopardus geoffroyi (Geoffroy's cat) is the source of this 3273-nucleotide long non-coding RNA. RefSeq lists it as uncharacterized. The record is from RefSeq and is a predicted model, not a curated record. The transcript is spliced from 2 exons. NCBI's taxonomy places the organism in Eukaryota, Metazoa, Chordata, Mammalia, Carnivora, Felidae.
UCUGCCCCUCCCCUGCUCGUGCUCUGUCUCUCUCUCCCUCCCUCUCAAUAAUAAACAUUUAAAAAAAAAAGAAGAAGAAGAAGAAUUUGGAAGCAGUCAGUUUAUGCAGACAAUUCAGAGUCUGACUGGCUUGCAUAUCUCAGCUGUCCCCCUCUUCCCGCUCUACUCGAAUGAUCUGGUUUUUCUGGAUGUCUUAGAAUUCUUGUAUUUGUUGAGUCCAUAGCCUCAGGUGCUCCCAUGUCUGCUCCAAGUGCAUGGGAAGAAUAAACACCUGAGAAAAAUGUGCCCCUGUCAAAAUACAGGAUGGACUCGGUUGUGACGAGUGCCUUGGGAGUCCGGGUAUACAGACUGGCCGGGAGAUUAAGUGAGGGUUUCUUUAACAUGGUAAACUUAAAGGGAAUCAGGGGACAUUGAGACUUUCCAGGGAUUUGUUUCAGCUGAAAGCAGAUUGUGAGAAAUUCUUAACUUAGGUGCUGCCAUCCUUUGUUCAUAUUUAUUUUUUCUUUCUUUCUUCUACAGAGCAGAAUAGGCUAAAAGAACAAAAUAAAACAAACAAACAAAAACAAACUACCCACCAGAACUAAGAGGGGAAUGGCCAUUUCUAUUGUAAGGUUAUAAAAACAAACCUAAGUAACACCUGCACAUAAGGACCCCUGGGUCAGAAAUUUAGAGAGGAGGAUUCCAAAGGAUCCAGGGAAAAAAUUAGGUGAGCUCUACGACCAAGGAGUCUACUAUAAAUUUAGCUGAUGAAGUUAGAAGAAUAUUUAAAUCCAACCUAUGAAAAUAUAUGAACAAUGAAACAAUGUAUCCAGAAGAUAGAAGGAUUGGUGUUAAUUGGAGAACAAGUAUAAACGUCUCGUGGACUGUUAGAAACCAGUAGAAAGAUUACCAAAAUGAAGCAUUGUCACAGGAAAACUAGAGAGAAGUGUAGAUUUUUGAAAGGUAUAGAUUUUUGAAAAGUGAAAAGCUUGACAUUAAUUUCUGGGAAACACCUAUGGCUGAUUAUGACACAGCUCCUUUGUGAAUAGGAAGAGAGCAGCACUGGCCUGGCCACAGCAUGGUUUGCUAAGAGGCAGUCAAGGGAAUGUAGAUUCUGGCUUAAAAUCAAAGGAGAGAGGAGUCGUAGUUUAUCUGUUCACCGUUCUUAUCAGCAAAUCAGAAGAUGACAUAGGCCAGGCUUUUGUUGCCAUAGAAGGUUCUGGACCAGGAAGGGGAGGCAAAGAAGGGACAGAUAGGAGGAAAGGAAGGAAGGAAGGGGAGAUGGAGGGCUCAAGAUCCAAGGGACUCGAAGCUGUCAGAAUCCAAGUCCAAAAUCACCCCGCGAGUGGGACAUGCAGGCCAGCAUGUGUGAUGGCAGUGGUGAAUAUGGAAGGGGUGGGAAUCCAUUAUUGAAUGAAUAUUCACGGAACACUUACUGUGUGUCAGGAGCACUUACUGUGUGUCAGGUAUUGCAUUCUGGGUUGGGGGGGAGGGAAUGCUGCAGGGAAUCAAGCAGACAAGGGCCCGGCCCUCAGGGGGCUGCUAGUGAGGGAGGUAGGAGGCAAACAUAUCUGGAAUUUCUCAGGAGGUGAUAGUGUUAUGGGGAAGAAAACAGGUGGGGUGGCUCAUUUACCUGGAGUGGUCAGGGAAGGCCCCUCUGAGAUUUGCAGCAUUUGGGACUGAAGGCAGUGAGGGUGAAGGAACGCUCAACCCAGGGAAAGUGGGGAAAGUGGUUCCCCAAGGUGUGUGUCGGGUCUGGGGCAGCCUUGAGGAGGCCAGGGCUGCCCGGAGCAGAGUGAGCAAGGGGAAGCAGGGGGGAAUUGAUGCUGGAAGAAGAUGCAGGCUGGAAAGCAGACAAAGGAGAGCCCGGAACCUGCUGUUCAUCCAAGUAAGUGACACGAUCGGGGACUCAAUACUCAAGAGUCCUUUAUGACAGUCUUCAAAUAAGUUCCAAAGUCCAGACCAUAACCAUCCAAGUUCCAGAGGAGGCAGCUUUUAGUUCCGCGUGUGGCAGCCUAGCACUUAAGCUGCCUAGCAGUGCUGUGUGCUGCACGGUGAGGUCUUUAUCUUCAGAAGUGCUGGACGGGCAAUGUCCCUGCAUUGAGCCAGGUUUUACAUCUAAAAGCCUCCGAUGCCCCUUUCGAUGCGAACAUUCUGCAGCUUCCCCCCAGAGAACAAGAGUCUCCUGACUUUGGCCCUGACUUUCAGCGGGAUGGCACAUGGGGAAGCAGAAGGGGGAGGUGGUGGUGAGUGGGGUUAACGGGAAGGAGAAAUGAAGGGCUGGAGACAGGUUCACGGAGACACGGUGUUUGGGCCGGGGGGAGCAGUUGGAGUCCAUAGGAAUGUGCCCAGAAAAGUAAGGGAGUCUGGCCUCGGGGGAAGGGCAGCUGGCCUUGGGGGCCUCAGGAGGGUGUCAUCCUAAGAUCAAGCAACAGAGAUCUGGACAUUGUGCUGGCGGGUCAGCCAUGGGGGAUCUUUCAGGAAAUGGUAAAGGACGAGCCUGAGAAUUUCCAGGGACAUCAGGUAGAGAUAGCAAUCAAGGUGACAAUCCAAAAUCUCUGAGGUGUGCCCCUGGGCAAGAUAAGAAAAAACUUUCCUUCUCCAGGGACCAACUUACUAGAGAAAAAGUCUAGACCCCUGAUGUAGAAAUGGGGAGGGGAAGGAGUGACUGAAACACCACAGCCACAGUUGAGGCCUAGCAGCCGGGUUCACAGAAGUAUCUGGAUGUCCUGGUACCACAAAGGUGGAAAGGAAGGACCUCUUCCAGAGAGGGCAAAGUCGGAAAAGGCCGAGAGACCCCCAGCUCUAGGACCCUUGGACGUAGGGAGUGACAACUGACCCAAUCAGACAGAAUCCGACUCCGCUUUGCUUUGACCAAAAAAUGGUGGCGUUCUUUUCCAGUUUUGAUUCACCGGACUUAACGUACUUCCCCCCAUAAUUAUAUGCUGGCCAGAUCGCAGGGACACUGGACAGAUUAAUUUAAAUCAAGACAAUUAAGGGCAGUUGAAAUUUUUAAAUUCUCUUCUCUCUGUUCUGGUUUAUAAAUAAUUUGGAAGAAGGAAAUGAAUUUCACGAAGAGCAUAAAGAUUACAUUUGAAAAUUAUGGCAUUUCUGGGCUCUGGCUUCUUGAAAACUACUCAGCAUGGCGUGCUAAUGGAUUGUCAGGCCCCAAAGAUGGCAAGCACGGAGUGAAAUGACAGUCGGAAAGGGGCUGAGACAGGCUGGAGAGCUUUUGCGAAUACGAGGGAACCUAGUUUUGAUUUGAUGUUUUACAAUCGAAAGUGUUCAAUUAUA